GACGAACGCUGGCGGCGUGCUUAACACAUGCAAGUCGAACGGUGAAGCCUUCGGGUGGAUCAGUGGCGAACGGGUGAGUAACACGUGAGCAAUCUGCCCUUGACUCUGGGAUAACUUCGGGAAACCGGAGCUAAUACCGGAUAUGACAUCUGGCCGCAUGGUCUGGGUGUGGAAAGAUUUAUCGGUCAAGGAUGAGCUCGCGGCCUAUCAGCUUGUUGGGGGGUAAUGGCCCACCAAGGCGACGACGGGUAGCCGGCCUGAGAGGGCGACCGGCCACACUGGGACUGAGACACGGCCCAGACUCCUACGGGAGGCAGCAGUGGGGAAUAUUGCGCAAUGGGCGGAAGCCUGACGCAGCGACGCCGCGUGAGGGAUGAA
Molecule: ribosomal RNA, 378 nt
Filed under: uncultured bacterium
Lineage: Bacteria
Description: bacterial SSU rRNA
Rfam family: Bacterial small subunit ribosomal RNA
Source: RNAcentral